ACCCUGGUAGUCCACGCCGUAAACGAUGAUUACUAGGUGUGGGGGGACUGACCCCUUCCGUGCCGGAGUUAACACAAUAAGUAAUCCACCUGGGGAGUACGACCGCAAGGUUGAAACUCAAAGGAAUUGACGGGGGCCCGCACAAGCAGUGGAGUAUGUGGUUUAAUUCGAAGCAACGCGAAGAACCUUACCAGGUCUUGACAUCGAGUGACGGAUACAGAGAUGUAUCCUUCCUUCGGGACACGAAGACAGGUGGUGCAUGGUUGUCGUCAGCUCGUGUCGUGAGAUGUUGGGUUAAGUCCCGCAACGAGCGCAACCCUUAUCAUUAGUUGCUACGCAAGAGCACUCUAGUGAGACUGCCGUGGAUAACACGGAGGAAGGUGGGGAUGACGUCAAAUCAUCAUGCCCUUUAUGACCUGGGCUACACACGUACUACAAUGGCACUCAAACAGAGGGAAGCGACACCGCGAGGUGAAGCAAAUCCCGAAAAAGUGUCUCAGUUCGGAUUGCAGGCUGCAACUCGCCUGCAUGAAGUCGGAAUUGCUAGUAAUCGCGGAUCAGCAUGCCGCGGUGAAUACGUUCCCGGGCCUUGUACACACCGCCCGUCACACCAUGAGAGCCGGUAACACCCGAAGUCAGUAGCCUAACCGCGAGGGGGGCGCUGCCGAAGGUGGGAUUGGUAAUUGGGGUGAAGUCGUAACAAAGUAGCCGUAUCGGAAGGUGCGGCUGGAUCACCUC
Molecule: ribosomal RNA, 738 nt
Filed under: uncultured bacterium
Lineage: Bacteria
Description: bacterial SSU rRNA
Rfam family: Bacterial small subunit ribosomal RNA
Source: RNAcentral